Molecule: ribosomal RNA, 465 nt
Filed under: uncultured bacterium
Lineage: Bacteria
Description: partial 16S ribosomal RNA
Rfam family: Bacterial small subunit ribosomal RNA
Source: RNAcentral
GACGAACGCUGGCGGCGUGCUUAACACAUGCAAGUCGAACGGAAAGGCCCCUUUGGGGGUACUCGAGUGGCGAACGGGUGAGUAACACGUGAGUAACCUGCCCUUGACUUCGGGAUAACUUCAGGAAACUGGGGCUAAUACCGGAUAGGAAUCCUUGCUGCAUGGUGGGGGUUGGAAAGCUUCGGCGGUUUUGGAUGGACUCGCGGCUUAUCAGCUUGUUGGUGGGGUAGUGGCUUACCAAGGCUUUGACGGGUAGCCGGCCUGAGAGGGCGACCGGCCACAUUGGGACUGAGAGACGGCCCAGACUCCUACGGGAGGCAGCAGGGGGGAAGAUUGCACAAUGGGCGGAAGCCUGAUGCAGCAACGCCGCGGGCGGGAUGACGGCCUUCGGGUUGGAAACCGCUUUCAGCAGGGGCGAAGCUUGUGGUGACGGUACCUGCAGAAGAAGCACCGGCUAACUACGUG